Molecule: ribosomal RNA, 289 nt
Filed under: uncultured bacterium
Lineage: Bacteria
Description: partial 16S ribosomal RNA
Rfam family: Bacterial small subunit ribosomal RNA
Source: RNAcentral
GAUGAACGCUGGCGGUGUGUCUAAGGCAUGCAAGUCGAGAGGGUUUAGACCCUCGGCAGACGGGGUAGUAACAGGUAGGUAACGUACCCAGAAGUCAGGAAUAAUCCAUCGAAAGGUGGACUAAUACCUGAUGGUUCCCUCACUCUUCGGAGUGUGGGAUAAAGAUUUAUCGCUUCUGGAGCGGCCUGCUUAGUAUCAGCUUGUUGGUAGUGUAAAGGACUACCAAGGCUACGACGCUUAGGGGAGGUGAGAGCCUGAUCCCCACCAUUGGAACUGCGACACUGUCCAA